Molecule: long non-coding RNA, 1143 nt
Filed under: Vulpes vulpes (red fox)
Lineage: Eukaryota; Metazoa; Chordata; Mammalia; Carnivora; Canidae
Description: lncRNA (ENSVVUG00000025012.1)
Source: RNAcentral
CCCACGCUGGGGGCGCGACCUCGGGGAGAGCUGGCUGGGGGUCGUUUGUGGCUCCGUUAAAUUACCUGCACUUAAAAAAAAAUUAUUUAUUCAUGAUAGACACAGAGAGAGAGAGAGAGAGAGAGGCAGAGACACAGGCAGAGGGAGAAGCAGGCUCCACGCAGGUAGCCCGAUGCGGGACUCGAUCUCGGGACUCCAGGAUCAUGCCCUGGGCCGAAGGCAGUGCUAAACCGCUGAGCCCCCCAGGGAUCUCCCUACCUGAACAUUUUUGAAAUGGAAUGCAUUAUUUCAGAAUCACAUAUUCUUGUUUUAAUUAACUUUUAAUUUUUCUGAACUUUCAAUUAUCCCUGGACUGGGAGCAAAGCCCGUUGGGCAGCGCUGGCUCUGCAAUUGAGGAGCAGGUGCGGGUAGUGAGGGGGGAGGACGGCCCAGGCCGCCGAGCUCGGGUCCAUCCUCACAGGUCCUUGUCUCCCACACAGGGUCCCUGCUAGGCCCGAACCCACCGUGCGUAGGACCCAGAAGCCCUGAGACGUUAAGGUUUUGACGCAGAAGGUUAAUGACUGAGCGGACGAAAUCCCGCCUUGGAGAACCGGGGAUCGUAUCCAAGGGUCUACACCUGUAGGCACAGAGAUCCGUCCUCUCCCCGCUCCCUGACGAUCGUGCGCGAGUCCUCCGGACAGUCGGACAGUCGUGCCGUGCUGACCGUUCGCUCUGUGCCUGGGAGGAAAGCCUGCCUGUCGGGGCGUGCGGGGCGCCACAGCCCUCCUCUCACCUCCUCGCCAGGUGUUCACGCCGUGUGACCUGCCGUGACGCCGGCAGGAAGGCAGACCGACGGCACAGCUGGGACACUGUCCUGUCAGAUAAGGAGCCCUGGGUGCGGAUUCCUCACCACCGCACGUGUGAAGACGGAGCAGGGAGGAGCCCGGCCACCGAGCCAAGCGGGAGCGAGCAGACUCAGGAGGUAGAUGCUCUGAAACUAGAAAUGGUCUCAGAGGAAACUGCCAGGAGGGCAGUGGGUGUCACCAGGGUGCUACCCCAGCCACUCCAGGACCGGAGGGAUGCCCCGUGGUGAGCAGCGCACACAUUCAACACUGACACCCUCUCUCCGGUGACUCCUCACGGACAGUCCUGGCAGCAAGCAGG